Molecule: small nucleolar RNA, 133 nt
Organism: Suncus etruscus (white-toothed pygmy shrew)
Lineage: Eukaryota; Metazoa; Chordata; Mammalia; Eulipotyphla; Soricidae
Product: small nucleolar RNA SNORA70
Exons: 1
Source: RefSeq, a predicted model, not a curated record
GUGCAGCCUUAAGGCAAGGCAUAUCUCUGUUCAUGAGUUACUGUGUACAGAGGCUGCAAACAGCAAAUGGACUCCAAGUAGUACCAGAAGCCCAUUUCUGGUAUGGGUCAUUUCAAAUAACUUGGAGACAGUC